UACGUAGGGUGCAAGCGUUGUCCGGAUUUAUUGGGCGUAAAGGGUGCGUAGGCGGCGUGGCAAGUCGGGUGUGAAAUCUUGGAGCUUAACUCCGAAACUGCAUUCGAUACUGCCGUGCUUGAGGACUGGAGAGGAGACUGGAAUUUACGGUGUAGCGGUGAAAUGCGUAGAUAUCGUAAGGAAGACCAGUGGCGAAGGCGGGUCUCUGGACAGUUCCUGACGCUGAGGCACGAAGGUCAGGGGAGCAAACGGG
RNAcentral lists this ribosomal RNA (253 nucleotides) under uncultured bacterium. Its description in RNAcentral is "partial 16S ribosomal RNA". It matches the Rfam family "Bacterial small subunit ribosomal RNA", at positions 524 to 776 of the family's 1533-position model. The record is from RNAcentral.